GACGAACGCUGGCGGUGUGCUUAACACAUGCAAGUCGAACGGUAAGGCCCUUCGGGGUACACGAGUGGCGAACGGGUGAGUAACACGUGGGUGAUCUGCCCUGCACUUCGGGAUACGCCUGGGAAACUGGGUCUCAUACCGGAUAGGACCACUGCCUGCAUGGGUGGUGGUGGAAAGCUUGUGCGGUGUGGGAUGGGCCCGCGGCCUAUCAGCUUGUUGGUGGGGUGAUGGCCGACCAAGGCGACGACGGGUAGCCGGCCUGAGAGGGUGACCGGCCACACUGGGACUGAGAUACGGCCCAGACUCCUACGGGAGGCAGCAGUGGGGAAUAUUGCACAAUGGGCGCAAGCCUGAUGCAGCGACGCCGCGUGAGGGAUGACGGCCUUCGGGUUGUAAACCUCUUUCAGCACCGACGAAGCGCAAGUGACGGUAGGUGCAGAAGAAGGACCGGCCAACUACGUGCCAGCCGCCGCGGUAA
Molecule: ribosomal RNA, 478 nt
Filed under: uncultured bacterium
Lineage: Bacteria
Description: partial 16S ribosomal RNA
Rfam family: Bacterial small subunit ribosomal RNA
Source: RNAcentral